RNAcentral lists this ribosomal RNA (483 nucleotides) under uncultured bacterium. Its description in RNAcentral is "partial 16S ribosomal RNA". It matches the Rfam family "Bacterial small subunit ribosomal RNA", at positions 30 to 507 of the family's 1533-position model. The record is from RNAcentral.
UUGAACGCUGGCGGCAGGCCUAACACCUGCAAGUCAAGCGGAUGAAGGGAGCUUGCUCCUGGAUUCAGCGGCGGACGGGUGAGUAAUGCCUAGGAAUCUGCCUGGUAGUGGGGGAUAACGUCCGGAAACGGGCGCUAAUACCGCAUACGUCCUGAGGGAGAAAGUGGGGGAUCUUCGGACCUCACGCUAUCAGAUGAGCCUAGGUCGGAUUAGCUAGUUGGUGGGGUAAAGGCCUACCAAGGCGACGAUCCGUAACUGGUCUGAGAGGAUGAUCAGUCACACUGGAACUGAGACACGGUCCAGACUCCUACGGGAGGCAGCAGUGGGGAAUAUUGGACAAUGGGCGAAAGCCUGAUCCAGCCAUGCCGCGUGUGUGAAGAAGGUCUUCGGAUUGUAAAGCACUUUAAGUUGGGAGGAAGGGCAGUAAGUUAAUACCUUGCUGUUUUGACGUUACCAACAGAAUAAGCACCGGCUAACUUCGUG